AGACAGCAGUCGCCGCGGUAAUACGGAGGGUGCAAGCGUUAAUCGGAAUUACUGGGCGUAAAGCGUGCGUAGGCGGUUUGUUAAGUCUGCUGUGAAAUCCCCGGGCUCAACCUGGGAAUGGCAGUGGAUACUGGCAAGCUAGAGUGUGUCAGAGGAUGGUGGAAUUCCCGGUGUAGCGGUGAAAUGCGUAGAGAUCGGGAGGAACAUCAGUGGCGAAGGCGGCCAUCUGGGACAACACUGACGCUGAGGCACGAAAGCGUGGGGAGCAAACAGGAUUAGAUACCCGCGUAGUCCCUGUCUCUUAUAC
RNAcentral lists this ribosomal RNA (307 nucleotides) under uncultured bacterium. RNAcentral describes it as "partial 16S ribosomal RNA". It matches the Rfam family "Bacterial small subunit ribosomal RNA", at positions 506 to 807 of the family's 1533-position model. The record is from RNAcentral.